Molecule: ribosomal RNA, 508 nt
Filed under: Raffaelea arxii
Lineage: Eukaryota; Fungi; Ascomycota; Sordariomycetes; Ophiostomatales; Ophiostomataceae
Description: partial large subunit ribosomal RNA
Rfam family: Eukaryotic large subunit ribosomal RNA
Source: RNAcentral
GUAACGGCGAGUGAAGCGGCAAAAGCUCAAAUUUGAAAUCUGGCCCCCCCCGCGGGGGUCCGAGUUGUAAUUUGCAGAGGAUGCUUUGGGCGCGGCGCCUUCCGAGUGCCUUGGAACAGGUCGCCUCAGAGGGUGAGAGCCCCGUACGGUUGGACGCCUAGCCCGUGUAAAGCUCCUUCAACGAGUCGAGUAGUUUGGGAAUGCUGCUCAAAAUGGGAGGUAAAUUCCUUCUAAAGCUAAAUACUGGCCAGAGACCGAUAGCGCACAAGUAGAGUGAUCGAAAGGUGAAAAGCACUUUGAAAAGAGAGUCAAAUAGCACGUGAAAUUGUUAAAAGGGAAGCGUCUGCGACCAGACGCGCCGCCCGCGGCUCACCCGGCGCCUCGGCGCCGGGGCACGCCGCGGGCGUCGGGCCAGCAUCGGCUCUGCCGUGGGUACAAGGACCGCGGGAACGUAGCUCCCUCGUGGAGUGUUAUAGCCCGCGGCACCAUGCCCGCGGCGGGGCCGAGG